UACGUAGGGGGCAAGCGUUGUCCGGAUUUACUGGGCGUAAAGAGUGUGUAGGCGGCCAAGCAGGUCCGUUGUGAAAACUGGAGGCUUAACCUCCAGACGUCGACGGAAACCGCGUGGCUAGAGUCCGGAAGAGGAGAGUGGAAUUCCUGGUGUAGCGGUGAAAUGCGCAGAUAUCAGGAAGAACACCAAUGGCGAAGGCAGCUCUCUGGGACGGUACUGACGCUGAGACGCGAAAGCGUGGGGAGCGAACAGG
RNAcentral lists this ribosomal RNA (253 nucleotides) under uncultured bacterium. RNAcentral's name for it is "partial 16S ribosomal RNA". It matches the Rfam family "Bacterial small subunit ribosomal RNA", at positions 524 to 776 of the family's 1533-position model. The record is from RNAcentral.